UACGUGCCAGCAGCCGCGGUAAUACGGAGGGUGCGAGCGUUAAUCGGAAUAACUGGGCGUAAAGGGCACGCAGGCGGUGACUUAAGUGAGGUGUGAAAGCCCCGGGCUUAACCUGGGAAUUGCAUUUCAUACUGGGUCGCUAGAGUACUUUAGGGAGGGGUAGAAUUCCACGUGUAGCGGUGAAAUGCGUAGAGAUGUGGAGGAAUACCGAAGGCGAAGGCAGCCCCUUGGGAAUGUACUGACGCUCAUGUGCGAAAGCGUGGGGAGCAAACAGGAUUAGAUACCCUGGUAGUCCACGCUGUAAACGCUGUCGAUUUGGGGAUUGGGCUUAGAGCUUGGUGCCCGUAGCUAACGUGAUAAAUCGACCGCCUGGGGAGUACGGCCGCAAGGUUAAAACUCAAAUGAAUUGACGGGGGCCCGCACAAGCGGUGGAGCAUGUGGUUUAAUUCGAUGCAACGCGAAGAACCUUACCUACUCUUGACAUCCUAAGAAGUUUGCAGAGAUGCGAAUGUGC
Molecule: ribosomal RNA, 514 nt
Filed under: uncultured bacterium
Lineage: Bacteria
Description: bacterial SSU rRNA
Rfam family: Bacterial small subunit ribosomal RNA
Source: RNAcentral